UAACACAUGCAAGUCGAGCGAGAAAGCUCCUUCGGGAGUGAGUAAAGCGGCGCACGGGUGAGUAACACGUAGGUAACCUACCCUCGAGCCCGGAAUAACCUACCGAAAGGUGGGCUAAUACCGGAUAUGACCACGGGAGUCACGGCUCCUGCGGUGAAAGAUGGCCUAAGCUUGCAAGCUAUCACUAGGGGAUGGGCCUGCGUACCAUUAGCUAGUUGGCGGGGUAAUGGCCCACCAAGGCUAUGAUGGUUAGCUGGUCUGAGAGGAUGGCCAGCCACACUGGAACUGAAACACGGUCCAGACUCCUACGGGAGGCAGCAGUGGGGGAUAUUGCGCAAUGGGCGAAAGCCUGACGCAGCGACGCCGCGUGGGUGAUGAAGGCCUUCGGGUCGUAAAGCCCUGUCGAGGGGGACGAAACGGCUCCGACCUAAUACGUCGGGGUUCUGACGGUACCCCUAAAGGAAGCACCGGCUAACUCCGUGCCAGCAGCCGCGGUAAUACGGAGGGUGCGAGCGUUGUUCGGAAUCACUGGGCGUAAAGCGCGCGUAGGCGGUCUGCUAAGUCUGAUGUGAAAGCCCGGGGCUCACCCCCGGAAGUGCAUUGGAAACUGACAGACUGGAGUCCCGGAGAGGAAGGUGGAAUUCCUGGUGUAGCGGUGAAAUGCGUAGAUAUCAGGAGGAACACCGGUGGCGAAGGCGGCCUUCUGGACGGUGACUGACGCUGAGGCGCGAAAGCGU
This 737-nucleotide ribosomal RNA is filed under the name uncultured bacterium. RNAcentral's name for it is "bacterial SSU rRNA". It matches the Rfam family "Bacterial small subunit ribosomal RNA", at positions 49 to 762 of the family's 1533-position model. The record is from RNAcentral.